UCACGCCUUACGACGGCAGUCUCUACGGAGUUCCCAGCAUUACCUGAUGGCAACCGUAGACAGGGGUUGCGCUCGUUAUGGCACUUAAGCCGACACCUCACGGCACGAGCUGACGACAACCAUGCAGCACCUACAUAGAUGUCCCGAAGGAAAACUCCCUUUCAGGAGCGGUCAUCUACAUUUCAAUCCCGGGUAAGGUUCCUCGCGUAUCAUCGAAUUAAACCACAUGUUCCUCCGCUUGUGCGGGCCCCCGUCAAUUCCUUUGAGUUUCACCGUUGCCGGCGUACUCCCCAGGUGGAUAACUUAACGCUUUCGCUUAGGAGCAUACUGUAUAUCGCAUACGCCCAGUUAUCAUCGUUUACUGCGUGGACUAC
Molecule: unclassified non-coding RNA, 374 nt
Filed under: uncultured Porphyromonadaceae bacterium
Lineage: Bacteria; Pseudomonadati; Bacteroidota; Bacteroidia; Bacteroidales; Porphyromonadaceae
Description: contains 16S-23S intergenic spacer region
Source: RNAcentral